Molecule: ribosomal RNA, 463 nt
Filed under: Streptococcus mitis
Lineage: Bacteria; Bacillati; Bacillota; Bacilli; Lactobacillales; Streptococcaceae
Description: bacterial SSU rRNA
Rfam family: Bacterial small subunit ribosomal RNA
Source: RNAcentral
GACGAACGCUGGCGGCGUGCCUAAUACAUGCAAGUAGAACGCUGAAGGAGGAGCUUGCUCUUUCCGGAUGAGUUGCGAACGGGUGAGUAACGCGUAGGUAACCUGCCUGGUAGCGGGGGAUAACUAUUGGAAACAAUAGCUAAUGCCGCAUAAUAGCAGUUAUUGCAUGAUAACUGUUUGAAAGGUGCAAAUGCACCACUACCAGAUGGACCUGCGUUGUAUUAGCUAGUUGGUGAGGUAACGGCUCACCAAGGCGACGAUACAUAGCCGACCUGAGAGGGUGAUCGGCCACACUGGGACUGAGACACGGCCCAGACUCCUACGGGAGGCAGCAGUAGGGAAUCUUCGGCAAUGGACGGAAGUCUGACCGAGCAACGCCGCGUGAGUGAAGAAGGUUUUCGGAUCGUAAAGCUCUGUUGUAAGAGAAGAACGAGUGUGAGAGUGGAAAGUUCACACUGUGACG